GCGUUACCAGGGAAACAGCCGUUGGAUUUGUGGCGCCAGCUCAGAUGUCUGAGAAGAAAAAGAAUGAAGACAAUGGGACAAGCAGUUCGCUAAGUAAAGAACUGAGUGGAAAUACCUUGGAUGACUGGACAGCCAAGAGUGUUGGAGCAGUGACCCAGGGUCUGAGGAUGCCUGCUCUACCCCUGAUCACUCCUGGGGAUUUGUGUAAGUCACUUCCCCUUUUGGGGCCUCAUUUCCUCAUCUGCAAAGCAAGGGGUCUUCAGUGGUUUCUUUCCAUCUGGAGAUUUCUCAGUGAGUCUCAAAAACAGAUUUUAUUGCGGUUGAUGGAUAGGUCCAUGAUGUGGAUUGUGGUGAUGGUUUCAUGGGUAUAUACAUAUGUCAAAGCUUUUCAAAUGGCAUAUUUUAAGUAUAUGCAGUUUAUUGUAUGUCAUAUAUAUCUCGAUAUAGCUAUCUAAAAAAACUUAUUUUAUCCAGCUUUCAGAAUGAUGAGGCGGUAGAAAGGAUGAUACUCUCUUCUGAUAAGCAUCUGUUUAUAUUGUCAGUAGCAGAGAGAAACAACAGUGAUUUCUGGAGUUUUCCCUACAGCUUCCUACUAAGGCUUGUGCUUUCUCCUCCUCCAACUUCUUCUAUUCAUUAAAAAAAAUUACUGAUUUCAUCCAUUCCAGGAAAUGUUCAUUUUGUUCAUCUCAGGCAUCAUCCUUGAGUCCUCACUCCUUUUUGGAAUGCCCGAGGUUCAGGAGCAAGGGGUCUGAGCUUCAGUUGGAUCCCCAAUGUGGCUCUAGGCUCAUCCCCACUAUCUUUUUCAGGAAGAGAAGAGAGCUGUCAUGUCCCUAACACUUACAGUGAACUCAACUCGUUGGGUAGUAACUCUCAGCAAAAAUUCCUCUUUGAAAGCAUAUUGUAAGGGAGAUAAAACAAAUUCCUACAGUGGAACUUCACACACUGUGACAAUUGGGUGAGGAAAUGCUCAGAGGCUGCUGUGGAGGUGGCUAUCUGCCCCUCCUUUCCAACCUACUGGUAUAUACCCUUUUCCUGACUUCUCCUAUGCCCAGUCAGGCACCAGUCACUCACCAGGGACUCUGAUUCUUCCACUGAAAUGCCUCUUGGAGCCCUUCUCAUGCAUUCCCAGCCACCACCCAGCCCAGAUGCGUCGUUUAAAAAUCUGGAUUUCUCCAGGAAGCUCCUUGCUUGGCUUCCUGCUUAAAGCAUCGGUUGUGCAUGAUUCAUCAUUCUCAAGACUGCAGUCACUUACCAGCUCAGAAACCUUCUGAGGCUCUACAUUUGCUCCUUUCAUCAGGUGUAAAGUCUUCUGCUUGAACUGUGAGGCCCUCUAUCACCUUCUCGUAUCUUCUUUUCAUAUUCUACCUUCUCCACCAUGCCCAGGGUCAGGUCUGCCCAAGUGGGGCAAAUUCCCUCCCAACUCUAUCGUGUACCAUUUUCCCCCAGUUCUCUACCUUUCUCAUGUUUCCAAACCACCAGAAAUCCAUACUCUCCUCAGCAAAUCCUAUCUGCCCGUCUUUUCCAAGAAGCUUUUACUGAUUCUGCAAGUACCUUAAUUUCUUUCUUUCUUUUUUCUAAAAAAUUAUUUUAUUUAUUUAUUUUUGGCUGUGUUGGGUCUUUGUGCACAGGCCCUCUCCAGAAGUAUGUUAAUUUCAAUUCAUAUGACUACUGUCUACUUGAUAGGUGCUGGGGACAUGAGGAUGAAUUAUGGUCUCUGCCUCUUGGUUUCUUUCUUCUCCCCAACACCCAAGAGAAUGAAAAAACCAGAAACACCCGUAAAGUAGGUACUUGAAAAUUCUAACCCAGGGAUUUAGAGCCUGUGCAGAUAAAGAAUUUGACACUGAGUGAAAUGGAGCAGGACCCUUUGGUCUUUGUCCCCCAGGUCCUCUGCCUGCCUUUUGUCUGUGGAAAAACUUUAGCCAAAAAAUAAGUUUAA
This is an RNA transcript of Aethalodelphis obliquidens (Pacific white-sided dolphin), 1936 nucleotides long. It is a transcript of the gene named serine rich single-pass membrane protein 1, with no coding region annotated. The record is from RefSeq and is a predicted model, not a curated record. The transcript has 3 exons. Lineage: Eukaryota; Metazoa; Chordata; Mammalia; Artiodactyla; Delphinidae.